RNAcentral lists this ribosomal RNA (500 nucleotides) under uncultured bacterium. Its description in RNAcentral is "partial 16S ribosomal RNA". It matches the Rfam family "Bacterial small subunit ribosomal RNA", at positions 30 to 523 of the family's 1533-position model. The record is from RNAcentral.
AUUGAACGCUGGCGGAAUGCUUUACACAUGCAAGUCGAACGGCAGCACGGACUUCGGUCGGGUGGCGAGCGGCGAACGGGUGAGUAAUGUAUCGGAACGUGCCCAGUCGUGGGGGAUAACGUAGUGAAAAUUACGCUAAUACCGCAUACGAUCUAUGGAUGAAAGCGGGGGAUCGCAAGACCUCGCGCGAUUGGAGCGGCCGAUAUCAGAUUAGGUAGUUGGUGGGGUAAAGGCCCACAAAGCAAACGAUCUGUAGCUGGUCUGAGAGGACGACCAGCCACACUGGAACUGAGACACGGUCCAGACUCCUACGGGAGGCAGCAGUGGGGAAUUUUGGACAAUGGGCGAAAGCCUGAUCCAGCCAUUCCGCGUGCAGGAUGAAGGCCCUCGGGUUGUAAACUGCUUUUGUACAGAACGAAAAGGUUUCUACUAAUACUAGGAGCUCAUGACGGUACUGUAAGAAUAAGCACCGGCUAACUACGUGCCAGCAGCCGCCGUAA